RNAcentral lists this ribosomal RNA (4084 nucleotides) under Triticum aestivum (bread wheat). RNAcentral's name for it is "partial small subunit ribosomal RNA". The record is from RNAcentral. Lineage: Eukaryota; Viridiplantae; Streptophyta; Magnoliopsida; Poales; Poaceae.
AGCAAAACGAAGACUCGCUGCUUCUUCCCCAUUUCCCUCACCUCUGCGCGCCGAACCCCGAUUCCCUCACCUCGUCGCCGCCGGAGCGGAGCGGUUCCCAGACCUGGAAUUUCGCUGUGGACAUUUUCACCCUUGAAAGAAGUCAGCUAGUGAAAAUCCAUAGUACCAUGGCAGAGGGGGUUGUCGGCAUGCUGAUUCUGAAGCUUGGUUCAGCCUAGGCCAUAGAAGCAAUCAAGGUUGGUACAGGGAAGCUAUGCCGUCAAGCUAAAGCUUCUUCUGUUGUCAGGCUGUUUGGUCAGAUCCGUGAUAUCAAGGAGGAUCUGGAGAGCAUGCAGUCGUUUCUACAAGAAGCCGAGAGGUUCAAGGAUACUGAAAAUACCACUGCUAGCUUCAUCAACAAGAUCCGAGGCCUUGCGUUCGAGAUCGAGGAUGUUGUUGACGAGUUCACCUACAAGUUAGAGGAUAAACAUGGUGGCUUUUCUGUGAAGAUCAAGCGGCGGUUUAAGAGAAUCAGUACCUGGCGCCGUCUGUCACUGCAAUUGAGAGACAUCAAACUGAAAUUAGAGAAUGUUGAUAGGAGAAAGGCCCGGUAUGACAUGAGAGGAAUUGCAAUAGAAGCUAGAAACAGUGAUGCUCAUUGCAGAUCUACAGAUCAGACUUCAUACUUCCCAAUAGAAGAAAAUCUUGUCGGCAUUGAUGAGAGUAAGAAUCUGCUGAUUAAUUGGUUGACAAGUGAUUUCCAACAGGAGAAUGUAAUUAGCACAGUAUGGGGGAUGGGAGGAGUAGGCAAGACCACUUUGGUUGCCCAUGUUUACAACACUCUGAAGAUAGACUUCGACUGUGCUGCAUGGAUAACUGUAUCAAAAUCAUACCAGGUUCAGGACUUGUUAAAGCAGAUUAUCAGGGAGUUACAGAAGAGCGACUUGAAGGGUGAACUUCGCGUUGAUAUUGUUGACAUGGAAAAGAGAAGCCUAGUUGAGAUCAUCCGUGAUUUCUUGCGUGGCAAGAAGUAUCUUCUGGUUCUAGAUGAUGUCUGGGGUAUUGACAUCUGGUUCAAGAUAAGAGAUGCUUUCCCUACUAACAGCACCAGUCGGUUUGUAAUCACGUCAAGAAUCCAUGAUGUAGCGUUGCUGGCUACUGGAAAUUGCAUGGUUGAAUUGAAACCACUAGAAGCGCACCACUCAUGGGAAUUGUUCUGUAAAGAGGCGUUUUGGAAAAAUGAAAACAGAAUAUGUCCGGAGGAGCUACAGUUUUUGGCACAAAGAUUUGUGGACAAGUGUAAUGGCUUGCCCAUUGCUAUUGCAUGCAUAGGUCGUUUACUGUCCUGCAAAAGCCAAACUCAUUCUGAAUGGGAAAAAUUGUACAAGGAAUUAGAAGUGCAGUUGACAAACAAUGCAAUUUUUGAUGUUAACAUAGUUCUAAUGGUCAGUUUGGGGGAUCUUCCAUAUAUUUUGAAGAACUGCUUUCUUCAUUGUAUUGUAUUUCCAGAGGAUUAUUUGAUCAAAAGGAAAAGACUGAUUAGGCAUUGGGUGACAGCAGGAUUCAUCAGGGAAACAGAGCACAAAACAAUGGAGGAAGUGGCAGAGGGCUAUUUGUACGAACUUGUAAAUCGAAGCCUAUUGCAGGUAGUGGAGAGGAAUGAAAGUGGACGUGUGCGGAGUUGCCGAAUGCAUGAUAUCAUUCGCCUUCUUGCUCUGGCUAAAUCAAAUGAGGAGAGGUUCUGUAGAGUUCAUGAUGGCCCAGGAAGUUCUUCAGCAGAAAAUACACGCCGCCUAUCAAUCCAAAGCGCCAAUAUUGAGCAGUUGACUCUUUCAAGUGAAGUUCAGCUCCGUUCAAUCUAUGUUUUUGACAAUGGUCUGACAAUUGAUUCACUGGAGUCUUUGUUGAAAUCUUUUAAGUUGCUAUCAACUUUAGAUCUACAAGGUUCCAAAAUUAGGAGGCUACCGAAUGAGAUUUUCAACAUGUUUAAUCUGCGGUUUCUGGGUCUUAGAGAUACCGAGGUUGAGGAUAUUCCGAGAACAGUUGGAAGACUACAGAAAUUGGAAGUUUUGGAUGCUUACAAUGCUAAGCUGUUGAGUUUACCAGAGAGUGUGGCGACACUCAGGAAGUUGAGAUAUCUAUAUGUAGCUACUGAUCCAAAGACAAAUAUUAAAGGAGUUGUUGCCUGGACUGGAAUCCAGGUGCCUAACGGCAUAAGGCACUUGACAGACUUGCAAGCCUUGCAACUUGUUGAGGCAAGUUCAGAGACUUUGUGUCAUCUUGGUGCUUUGACAGAGUUGAGAACUUUGUCCAUCACCAAAGUGCAGAGAGAACAGUGUGCUGAUUUGUGCAAUGCUAUCAUGAAUAUGACCCAUCUUGUUAGUCUGGCAAUUAUGGCUAUAAAUGAGAAAGAAACACUGGAACUGGAAGAGCUCUGCUUACCCCCUACGCUCUCGAAGCUUGAAAUAGGAGGGCAACUAGAUAGGAAACGGAUGCCUCAGAUUGUCUCGUCCUUCUCAGACCAUGAAAACAUUACCUUGUUGGCCUUAGCCUUCUCCAAACUUGAUGAAGACUCAUUUUCAUGCCUGCUGGUGUUACAUGGUCUACGUGCACUUUGGCUUGAUAAGGCCUAUGAAGGGAAGAGGCUGCACUUCAAUGCCAUGGCAUUUCCAAAACUGCGACUGCUAUCAAUCUCAGAUGCACCGCAGCUCAAUGAUGUUGUGGUAGAAGAAAGUGCAUUGCAAAGCCUUCUUCACCUAUCUCUCACAGAUUGUCCAGAGCUAAAGGCCCUCCCUGAUGGCAUUGAGCAUCUUAGAACACUAGAGAAAUUAUAUCUGCGAGGAGUUUCCAAAGAUCUCACAAAGAAGCUUCAGAACAAAGAAAAAACAAAUGAAUGCAAUGAUUAUCUUAAGAAGAUCAAUCACGUCCGAAGGGUAACUGUUUAUCCAUGAAGCACUUGGGAUAUGAUCCAGUGUUCCAGCAUAUAUCGUCAACUCAAGUACCUCUGAGCUCUCGCUCAAACUGAAUAGUUCGGAGAAAAAAAGGAGGCUUUAUAGAAGAGAAGUGGCAAGGAAAUGUCGAAAAGCAUCUGUGUAGACUGUACAGAACCUGAGUUAGGAACAAGAGGAGAGCCUUACUCGGUUUUGUUGGUCGAGAUGUUGAAAAUGCACAUCACAUCGAAAUGGACACCUCAGGAGGAACCAGAGAGGGAACCAUAAAUGCUCUCAAUGCAGCAAAAGUUUCAGCAAUGAAAGCUGCUGAAAUAGACACCGAGGAGGGUCCGGCGGUAGUCAAGAAACAGGAGGAGCUCGACGCCGACCUGGAGAAACUCUAUGUAGCAGACAGAGACUCUCGGCCUACAAGGAACUCACUCUGUUUGCGAGUGUCGCGUCGCUGGCGAUAUCAAGUGCCUGGGAUGUACACGCUUCACUGGCUUGUUUGUCCCUGCAUGUGGGAAUUGGACUCUCAGUUUUGCAUCUUGGCCUUGAUGAAAACUGAUGAUAAACGACCUCAUGUGCUAGCAACAGAAGGUACCUGGGCAUUCUCAGAAAUCAGCAUCCGCUGUAGCACCGCGGUAUGAAUGGGGAGGUUCCAGCGGAAAGAAAGUGUAUGCGCUAGCAGCAGUGAGCUCCUUGUCUGAUUCACAACUCUUUUGGCUGCUUGCUGCUAGUAGUAGGGGCACGUAUGAGGUGCAAAAAUUUGGCAUCAGCAUAUUGGACUGCUAAGGAAAACCUAAAAUUACAGCUGCAAAUCUGAUUGGGGAUGGGGCAAAUGCACCGAAAAAUAUUUGUUACUAGAAGCUUGAUUGUUUCUUCACAAAGUGAAGCACGGUCGUCAUAAAGUACACAUGCAACAGUGUAGGUAUUAGAAUCAAGACGAAGAAAUGAACAAUUGGACAGCUUGUUGUUUGUUCUUUGUAUAAAGCUUUGAACAAUUGGACAGCUUGUUGUUUGUUCUUUGUAGCAAGCAGAGAAAUGAUCUACUCCCUCUGUUCGCUUUUGUAAGACGUUUAAGACAACUGAAAUUGAACUGUUUAAGGUGUUUGCCCACAUUCAAACUCCUAAAAGGCUCUCCAAGCAGCUGUGAAUGUGCAUAUAUGUGAACC